CAGGGCUUGACAUGCCGCUGACCGGUCUAGAGAUAGAUUUUUAUCCUUCGGGAUACAGUGGACACAGGUGGUGCAUGGUUGUCGUCAGCUCGUGUCGUGAGAUGUUGGGUUAAGUCCCGCAACGAGCGCAACCCUUGUCUUUAGUUGCCAGCAUUAAGUUGGGCACUCUACAGAGACUGCCGAUGACAAAUCGGAGGAAGGUGGGGAUGACGUCAAAUCAUCAUGCCCUUUAUGUCCUGGGCUACACACGUGCUACAAUGGUCGGUACAACGAGAAGCAAGCUAGCGAUAGCAAGCAAAUCUCUAAAAGCCGAUCCCAGUUCGGAUUGCAGGCUGCAACUCGCCUGCAUGAAGUCGGAGUUGCUAGUAAUCGCGGAUCAGAAUGCCGCGGUGAAUGCGUUCCC
RNAcentral lists this ribosomal RNA (403 nucleotides) under uncultured bacterium. RNAcentral's name for it is "bacterial SSU rRNA". It matches the Rfam family "Bacterial small subunit ribosomal RNA", at positions 975 to 1375 of the family's 1533-position model. The record is from RNAcentral.